AUUGAACGCUGGCGGCAGGCCUAACACAUGCAAGUCGAGCGAGCGGCGGACGGGUGAGUAAUGUAUGGGGACUGCCCGAUAGAGUGGGAUAACUACUGGAAACGGUAGCUCAUACCGCAUACUAUCGGAUAACCCAUAUGGGAUUAGCUAGUAGGUGAUGUAAUGGCUCACCUAGGCGACGAUCCCUAGCUGGUCUGAGAGGAUGAGCAGCCACACUGGGACUGAGAAACGGCCCAGACUCCUACGGAGGCAGCAGUGGGGAAGAUUGCAAAAGGGGCGAAAGCCUGAUGCAGCCAUGCGGCGUGUAUGAAGAAGGCCCUAGGGUUGUAAAGUACUUUCAGUCGGGAGGCGUUACCGACAGAAGAAGCACCGGCUAACUCCGUGCCAGCAGCCGCGGUAAUUC
Molecule: ribosomal RNA, 403 nt
Filed under: uncultured bacterium
Lineage: Bacteria
Description: partial 16S ribosomal RNA
Rfam family: Bacterial small subunit ribosomal RNA
Source: RNAcentral